This 680-nucleotide long non-coding RNA is filed under the name Equus caballus (horse). RNAcentral's name for it is "lncRNA (ENSECAG00000056256.1)". The record is from RNAcentral. Lineage: Eukaryota; Metazoa; Chordata; Mammalia; Perissodactyla; Equidae.
CUUCUUGCAGGCCUAUCACACACUCCUGCUCGGGGCUCCUCUGGGCGUCAGGAGGUCUUCUUGGAGCUCAGAUAUCAACACUGAAGGAGUAAAUGUAACAGGAACUUUAAAACUAUGAUUUAAAUCAGACGUGUACGAGGUCCAGGAGCUGUGUGUGCGUAGACCUGGGGAACCAGACUACUGAUGGUGAUCACUUUGUAGUGUAUACAUUGGUCGAAUUUUAAUGUCGUACACCUGAAACUUAUAUAAUGUUAUAUACCGAUAUUACCUCAAUUUCAAAAGAAGAAGCGACCUUUGACCUCAGACGUGAGCAUGAGUCGGAGUGAGGUGUGGAGAGGAAGGAAGAGAGUCAGAGGAUGGUGAAGCCCCAGAACCUACCAGCAUCAGAAGGGCGAAGGACGCCAGGAGUGAGCUCGGGCACUUGGAGGGGCCCCGUCCUCUCCCCCACUGCUGCCUUGUGGGCUCGGCACCGAGGGAAGGACGGCCGCUCACAGAUCCUCCUCAGGGGCUGCAGCACAGGCUUCGCGGCACCCACCCCUUGCUGAGGACGAGCUGGGUAUGAUCCCCACAACUACUCCCUUACUCAGAUGGACCGACGGACACGCGGGAAUGACAGUCGGGAAGGAGCAGGGUCAGGUCUAGGUUUUCUGACUCUAAAAUGCCUCCUCUUUCCGUUCCUG